GAUGAACGCUGACAGAAUGCUUAACACAUGCAAGUCUACUUGAACUUCGGUUUGGGUGGCGGACGGGUGAGUAACGCGUAAAGAACUUGCCUCACAGUUAGGGACAACAUUUGGAAACGAAUGCUAAUACCUGAUAUUAUGAUUUUAGGGUAUCCUAAGAUUAUGAAAGCUAUAUGCGCUGUGAGAGAGCUUUGCGUCCCAUUAGCUAGUUGGAGAGGUAACGGCUCACCAAGGCGAUGAUGGGUAGCCGGCCUGAGAGGGUGAACGGCCACAAGGGGACUGAGACACGGCCCUUACUCCUACGGGAGGCAGCAGUGGGGAAUAUUGGACAAUGGACCAAAAGUCUGAUCCAGCAAUUCUGUGUGCACGAUGACGUUUUUCGGAAUGUAAAGUGCUUUCAGUUGGGAAGAAAAAAAUGACGGUACCAACAGAAGAAGUGACGGCUAAAUACGUGCCAGCAGCCGCGGUAAUACGUAUGUCACAAGCGUUAUCCGGAUUUAUUGGGCGUAAAGCGCGUCUAGGUGGUUAUGUAAGUCUGAUGUGAAAAUGCAGGGCUCAACUCUGUAUUGCGUUGGAAACUGCAUGACUAGAGUACUGGAGAGGUAAGCAGAACUACAAGUGUAGAGGUGAAAUUCGUAGAUAUUUGUAGGAAUGCCGAUGGGGAAGCCAGCUUACUGGACAGAUACUGACGCUAAAGCGCGAAAGCGUGGGUAGCAAACAGG
RNAcentral lists this ribosomal RNA (722 nucleotides) under uncultured Fusobacterium sp. RNAcentral's name for it is "bacterial SSU rRNA". It matches the Rfam family "Bacterial small subunit ribosomal RNA", at positions 28 to 776 of the family's 1533-position model. Lineage: Bacteria; Fusobacteriati; Fusobacteriota; Fusobacteriia; Fusobacteriales; Fusobacteriaceae. The record is from RNAcentral.